This 249-nucleotide ribosomal RNA is filed under the name Triticum aestivum (bread wheat). RNAcentral's name for it is "partial small subunit ribosomal RNA". The record is from RNAcentral. Lineage: Eukaryota; Viridiplantae; Streptophyta; Magnoliopsida; Poales; Poaceae.
AUGCUCGUACUUUCUGUAUGGAGCUGGGAGCGCUUGCCGGCCGGACGCCUGAAGGACAUAACGUACAGGGCUUGGGAUGACCACGGCGAUGAACUACGGCUCCCCACCUGGGCUUAGAAGUGGGAUGUGGUAACCGAGAAGACUAGCGAUGUCACUAUGAUGUAUAGGCAGUACACCAACGAGUUGGACACGAUUACUGCUGAGCAGGUAAGCAUUCACACUGCUUCACUCAUUCUCAUGCUUUCAUGA